GACGAACGCUGGCGGCAUGCCUAAUACAUGCAAGUCGAGCGAACAGAUGAAGUGCUUGCACUUCUGACGUUAGCGGCGAACGGGUGAGUAACACGUAAGGAAUCUACCUAUAAGCGGGGGAUAACAUUCGGAAACGGGUGCUAAUACCGCAUAAUAUCUUCUUCCGCAUGGAAGAAGAUUUAAAGACGGCUCUGCUGUCACUUAUAGAUGACCUUGCGGUGCAUUAGUUAGUUGGUGGGGUAACGGCCUACCAAGACGAUGAUGCAUAGCCGACCUGAGAGGGUGAUCGGCCACAUUGGGACUGAGACACGGCCCAAACUCCUACGGGAGGCAGCAGUAGGGAAUCUUCCGCAAUGGGCGAAAGCCUGACGGAGCAAUGCCGCGUGAGUGAAGAAGGCCUUCGGGUCGUAAAACUCUGUUAUAAGAGAAGAACAAAUUGUAGAGUAACUGCUACAGUCUUGACGGUAUCUGAUCAGAAAGCUACGGCUAACUACGUG
This 497-nucleotide ribosomal RNA is filed under the name uncultured bacterium. RNAcentral describes it as "partial 16S ribosomal RNA". It matches the Rfam family "Bacterial small subunit ribosomal RNA", at positions 28 to 507 of the family's 1533-position model. The record is from RNAcentral.